CCGAGCACGCCGCGUGAGUGAAGAAGGUUUUCGGAUCGUAAAACUCUGUUGGUAGAGAAGAACGUUGGUGAGAGUGGAAAGCUCAUCAAGUGACGGUAACUACCCAGAAAGGGACGGCUAACUACGUGCCAGCAGCCGCGGU
This 142-nucleotide ribosomal RNA is filed under the name uncultured Lactococcus sp. RNAcentral describes it as "partial 16S ribosomal RNA". It matches the Rfam family "Bacterial small subunit ribosomal RNA", at positions 387 to 521 of the family's 1533-position model. The record is from RNAcentral. Lineage: Bacteria; Bacillati; Bacillota; Bacilli; Lactobacillales; Streptococcaceae.